RNAcentral lists this ribosomal RNA (871 nucleotides) under uncultured Arthrobacter sp. Its description in RNAcentral is "partial 16S ribosomal RNA". It matches the Rfam family "Bacterial small subunit ribosomal RNA", at positions 63 to 950 of the family's 1533-position model. The record is from RNAcentral. Lineage: Bacteria; Bacillati; Actinomycetota; Actinomycetes; Micrococcales; Micrococcaceae.
CGANCGAUGAAGGGAGCUUGCUCCUGGAUUAGUGGCGAACGGGUGNNUAACACGUGAGUAACCUGCCCUUAACUCUGGGAUAAGCCUGGGAAACUGGGUCUAAUACCGGAUAUGACUGAUCAUCGCAUGGUGGUUGGUGGAAAGCUUUUUGUGGUUUUGGAUGGACUCGCGGCCUAUCAGCUUGUUGGUGAGGUAAUGGCUCACCAAGGCGACGACGGGUAGCCGGCCUGAGAGGGUGACCGGCCACACUGGGACUGAGACACGGCCCAGACUCCUACGGGAGGCAGCAGUGGGGAAUAUUGCACAAUGGGCGCAAGCCUGAUGCAGCGACGCCGCGUGAGGGAUGACGGCCUUCGGGUUGUAAACCUCUUUCAGUAGGGAAGAAGCGAAAGUGACGGUACCUGCAGAAGAAGCGCCGGCUAACUACGUGCCAGCAGCCGCGGUAAUACGUAGGGCGCAAGCGUUAUCCGGAAUUAUUGGGCGUAAAGAGCUCGUAGGCGGUUUGUCGCGUCUGCCGUGAAAGUCCGGGGCUCAACUCCGGAUCUGCGGUGGGUACGGGCAGACUAGAGUGAUGUAGGGGAGACUGGAAUUCCUGGUGUAGCGGUGAAAUGCGCAGAUAUCANGAGGAACACCGAUGGCGAAGGCAGGUCUCUGGGCAUUAACUGACGCUGAGGAGCGAAAGCAUGGGGAGCGAACAGGAUUAGAUACCCUGGUAGUCCAUGCCGUAAACGUUGGGCACUNNNGUGGGGGANNUUCCACGUUUUCCGCGCCGUANCUANCGCAUUNAGUGCCCCNCNGGGGNANUACGGCNNNANGGCUAAAACUCAAGGAANNGANGGGGCCCNCNNNNNNGNGNAGCAUGCGGAUNNUU